UCUGUGAGCUGAUUCCACUAGUGACUGAGCACAGACCACCACCAUGGAGCUGGGGCUGCGCUGGGUUCUCCUUGUUGCUCUGGUGAAAGGUGUGCAGUGUGAGGUGCAGCUGGUGGAGUCUGGGGGAGGCUUGGUGCAGCCUGGGGGGUCCCUGAGACUCUCCUGUGUAGCCUCCGGAUUCACCUUCAGUAGCUAUCACAUGAACUGGAUCCGCCAGGCUCCAGGGAAGGGGCUGGAGUGGAUUUCAUACAUUAGUUAUAAUAGUGGUACCAAAUACUACACAGACUCUGUGAAGGGCCGCUUCACCAUCUCCAGAGACAACAGCAAGAGCACACUUUACCUGCAGAUGAACAACCUGAGAGUGGAGGACACGGCCGUCUAUUACUGUGCUAGAGACACACUUGACUCCUGCAGACUAAGAGGAGCUCACCAGGUCCGCUGCCGCCCUGUCCUGCUCAGCACGGGCUGCUCCACGUGCAAGGCGCAGGCGCGGUCUCCAUGGCGCCUCCUACAGAAGGACCGGAUCGGAGCCGAGUGCGCAUGGGG
Molecule: non-coding RNA, 546 nt
Organism: Dipodomys ordii (Ord's kangaroo rat)
Lineage: Eukaryota; Metazoa; Chordata; Mammalia; Rodentia; Heteromyidae
Source: the annotation of a RefSeq genome assembly